Molecule: ribosomal RNA, 515 nt
Filed under: uncultured bacterium
Lineage: Bacteria
Description: partial 16S ribosomal RNA
Rfam family: Bacterial small subunit ribosomal RNA
Source: RNAcentral
GAUGAACGCUGGCGGCGUGCCUAAUACAUGCAAGUCGAGCGAAUGGAUUAAGAGCUUGCUCUUAUGAAGUUAGCGGCGGACGGGUGAGUAACACGUGGGUAACCUGCCCAUAAGACUGGGAUAACUCCGGGAAACCGGGGCUAAUACCGGAUAACAUUUUGAACCGCAUGGUUCGAAAUUGAAAGGCGGCUUCGGCUGUCACUUAUGGAUGGACCCGCGUCGCAUUAGCUAGUUGGUGAGGUAACGGCUCACCAAGGCAACGAUGCGUAGCCGACCUGAGAGGGUGAUCGGCCACACUGGGACUGAGACACGGCCCAGACGCCUGCGGGAGGCAGCAGUAGGGAAUCUUCCGCAAUGGCCGAAAGUCUGACGGAGCAACGCCGCGGGAGUGAGGAAGGCUUUCGGGUCGUAAAACUCUGUUGUUAGGGAAGAACAAGUGCUAGUUGAAUAAGCUGGCACCUUGACGGUACCUAACCAGAAAGCCACGGCUAACUACGUGCCAGCAGCCGCCGUAA